This 7304-nucleotide long non-coding RNA is filed under the name Heterocephalus glaber (naked mole-rat). RNAcentral's name for it is "lncRNA (ENSHGLG00100050402.1)". The stretch from base 6088 to 6173 matches the Rfam family "mir-365 microRNA precursor family". Lineage: Eukaryota; Metazoa; Chordata; Mammalia; Rodentia; Bathyergidae. The record is from RNAcentral.
GUGAGUCUGCCCGGCGUGGCUGCCCGGCUCCCUUCCCUGGGGCGGGGCGGGCGGCGCGGCAGGUGGGUGCCCAGGCCCCGGAGGCCGAGGGGGUGCUGGGCGGCUGCCUGGAGGGUGGGUGGGAGCCGGAGCGGACCGGGGGCGACUCUCCGGGGACCCGGCGCGACUUGUCUGGGCUGCGAUCGCCGCGGCUUCCGCCACCCCGGCGGUCCCCACCCCAGCCCCUUCCCCAGAGGGGCGUGUGGGGCCGGGAGGUGGGACCCCGGGGGGCUAAGGCUGGGGCUUGGAAAUGAAAGAGGCGGUCGGAAAGCCAGCCACCCGCCCCCACCCCGGAGAGCCCGUUCGGGAAACUGACUCGCUGCGUGACCCCGAUAUCAACGCGGUGGGGGAGCAGGCUGGCCCGCGCGCGCCUCGGGGAUCCGGGGCCCGGGGCCUCGGAAGGAGCGGGGAGGAUGUCCCCCGAGAGUCACCGCCGUCCCCACAGAAAGUUAGGGGCCCCUCCCUGGAGGAGCAGGCGGCUCUGGCACGUUGCCUUUAGCCUUGAUGGACAGGAGUGAAAUAAGUAAAACCUGGGCUCCAGGGUGCUGACCGGGGUACCCGGGCCAGAGACACCACGUUAGCGGAAGAAAAAGUUAGAUAAAGGAACAAAUAAAAGGCAUUUUGAUUUGGGGGUGGGGGGAGUGGCGUUUCGGAUUUCUCCUGCUUCCAACCCCGUCGAGGGGAGCGCUGGAAUGUGGCGUUCAGAUCCUCUGAGGACACAUCCAUAUUUAUAAUUUAUUUUUAGGAGAAGUUGUGACUAGGGGAGGAGGGUUACACUGGGGAAAAAAGGUGUGCUCGAAAGGCGGCCUUUCCCGAGCCCGGGGGCUAAUUGGACCCUUAGGGUGGGAACAGGCCUCCCUAUCGGGACAGCAGCAAAUUUGACUUUAAUGGGUGACAAUUAAGGGCAUAAAUAACUAAACUUUCUUUAGCUGGAGGGGGAGCCUUACAGGCGCCUCUGACGCUCCAUUGAUGCUUUGCUGGGGGACUUUGGGGGAACUCCUGGUAUUUUCUGGGGUUUUGCGCCUGAGUGUUAGCAGGGAGCAAGCGGUGACUGCUCCCCGAGGGAGGUGACGGUCCCACGGGUGGACAAAUGCGCCCUUCCUCCCACAGCGACACCUUGGCUUUCUGGGAGAUGAACCGCCUUCCUGAGGGAAAAAGCCAGGAACGAUUCCUUUAACGAUCUAGGAUUCUCCCAGUCCUGCCUCCCAGGCAGCUCGCUCCCGAGCACGGAGCUGUGAGGGGACUCACUUCGGGAGGAAGAAGGCUCCGGAGGCUGUGGGCCCAGAAUCGGGGUUUUGAGGGCGAGAUGAGUUUAUGUUUUAUCCAACUGGCCCACAAAGUCCCGCUUUUGGGGUCAUUCUUAACAGCGAGGGAUUCAGGCCCUGGCAGCCCCUGAAGAGUGAGGGUGGGGCGCGGAUCGCCCAGGCUGCUCCUCUAAAACCGGCUGGGGAAAGGGAGCCCUUGCUACUUCCGAAAAAGUGAGGCCCAACGUGGGGUGAGGGUGGGAUGCUCUUACAAUGCGUGUGUUCUCCGUGUGCUUGAACCUGCUGUGAUUUCAAGGCCUCUCCUUGGGAGGCCAGAAAGAUCCACCGCCCUCACCCCAGGGGCUUAAGGAGGUGUAGUAGUGACAGAAUUGGCAGGCUGUAUCAAAGUGUUUGAAAUUCCCUAAAUAAAGUACCACUAGCAUCAUAAAUCCUAAUGCCAUCAGAUUUCUCUUUACGUUUGUCAAAGGAGCAGCCUGCCGUUUCAGAACUGCAGUACUGUCUCUUUGCAAUUCGUUACUACCUCGAUAUUGAAGGCAUUUAAUAAGAAAGACUAGAUAAUAUGUCCAGGGGAGUCUCUAAGGUGGUACCAAUGCCCCUCUCAGGGGCAUUAAGCUUACUAAGAUAUAUUAAUUCAUACCCACACACCUGUCCUCCUGUCCAAACCUAUAUAGAUGUCCACACCCCCUAAGUUAUUUCCAAACCUGGAUUUAAAUUAAGUGUUCACAGCAGGGAACAUAAAACUGAGCUGUACCCGAGAAACUUUUGAACACAGAGUUCUUGAUAAAAGAUCUAGUGAUUUGAUAGACUUGGCACAUGGACACACAGAUGACAUUUGUGCUGCCUUGGCAAAAUGUUCUUUACUUUCAGAGUCCUUUCUCUUUACUACAGGACACAAUAAACAGCACAAUUUCCAGGAGUCCGCAGUUCCAACGUGGCUUGUCCGUGGGAACUUGUCACAUUGAGAACUGUGUUUGUGCUUUGCUGAAUUGCCACCCCGAGCUGUCAGAUCCUAUUUGCUUUGCUAAAUAAGGAUAUCUUACUAAAUUAGCCUUUAAUGAUACCUCUACACAUAGGGUGUUUUACGUGAAUUAACAAGGCCGGAACACUGCAUGUUAUGCCAAGAUACUGAGCUAUAAUCGAGGCGGUGAAGCUGAAUGUUAAAAUUACUGACUUGUUAAGUGUGGAAAAUCAGACAGAAUUUAGUUCUAAAUGUGAUACGAUUUCUGCUUUAAUGGUGAGCAUUCCCAAAACAUAGGCAUUGCUUAUAUUUGGCCCUCUGAAACCAUGCAUAUAAUUAUGAAUACAUUUAGCAAACUUUCCCCCUCUCCGAGUCUACAAAUAAGCAAAGUAAUGUGGUGAAGUGAUUAUAAAUCAGUACUUUGCAGUGAAAGGUCGCCAUUAAUUCAGCAAAGAACUGCAGCUCCUUUCCAUAUUCUUACCAUCCUCCUGCCCCCCUCCAACCGGUAAGAAAAAAAAAAUUGACGUGGAACUGCUGAAUACACGUUGGCUUUUCUCCUUUUGCUUCGGUGUGUGAAAUUUCAUUAAUCAUUUGCUAUUCCUCCCUCUAAGAGGUGUGGAUUUAGGGGAAGAAAUAGCAACUUUGAAAUUUAGUUCUUAGCAGUGUAUAACCCAUAAAGGAAAAAAAAUUUAAUAGAAAAGAAUAAAGUAUGGUUGGGGGUAAAAUAGUUAGAGAUGCAAUGAAAAUGACACUUUGUUCGAAAUCAAACAUGCAUUUGUGACUAAAACCAAUGAAAGUUGGAAAAAUCCCCACCUGGGAAUUCCCUCUAUGUCUUGCUCAUUAGCAUUCCCACCCUAACAUUGAGAACCAGGAAAAGAUUCUUGCCAGAUAAACUUAGAGCUCCCUAAGGUGGGCAGCUCACCCUUCUCUAAUUUGGACUGCAGAGUAAAUACCACUAUUUUAGGCAUGAGGAUAAAAAUUAGUCUGGCGAACAGUGAAGGCAAACUCUGUACUUAAGAGUCACUUACCAGAAAAUAAGUGCAUAUACCAACAAAAUAAAACAUUGUUGACCAGUGUUACUUUACCACAGAAUUUUCUUUCAUGUUUGCCAUCCUGAAUGCAGGAAAAUAUGGUCCUUUUUGCUUCUUAGAUUUAGAAUAAGAUGAGAAUAAACCCGGAACAACAACCCUGACACCCACAAAGUUGAUGUAAAGAAUCAUAGACUUUUCAGGCCCAGCAGUCAUGAACCUAUCCAGGGAGAGGUGGACAUUAAAGAAACAGUGUCUGGGCCGGGGAUUUAGCUCAGUGGUUCUGCUGCCUGCCUCGCAAGCGCAAGGACCUGAGUUCGAUCCCCGGUACCAAAAAAAAAAAAAAGAAAAGAAAAAGAAACAGUGUCUAAGGAGUAGACCUUGGGGUUCUUCCAUCACCCCAUGCUAGGCUGAGCCCCCAGCUCCCUUCGUGGUCUCUUUCCAAAGUAGCUAGCCUUCAGAUGCUGCCUUCUCAGCGGGCCCAGUUGCAGGGGACAUAUGCAAAUAUUUACAAAGCUUUCAAAUAAAGGUUCUGGUUUUCCUGUCUUCUUUAUAGAAAACAUCUAAAUUUACAGAACAUAAAGCAAACUUUUCCCCAUUGUCUCUGAAUGCUGGCACUCUAGAAAAUGCAAACGUCUUGGUGUCACAAGAGAGCCGUUUGAAAAUGCUCUGGCAAGAGGGGUGUGUGUGUGGCACAUGUAAGCGUUUCUUGGAGAUGGGGACUGGGCAGGGGGAGGAGUCAGCGGCUGGUCGGAGCCUGAAGUUAGUUGAACCUCAUGGGGUGAAAAUUUUCUGAGAAGAGCAGCAAACUCGACUGUCCUGUUGGAAUUGGACAUGAAAUCAGUGCCCAGGCCUCUGUCAUCUGUGCCCAAACCAGCCUGGACCGCUGCCAGCUGAGGCCCAGACAUGGCCGAAUGUAGCCACUGCUGGAGCCCAAACAUGCUCCAGACAGUUGCCUGGGGGGAUCUCCUCCUGGGACCCAGGCGGCAGCAGUUCAGCCAGAGGUGGGGUGUUUGGCUCCCAGGGCAGCCUCCCCAGACACUCUUCGGGGCUCAGUAGCUUGUGGGUGCUGGGGCCCAGAGGGCAGUACCUCACUUUGUUCAGAGGUAAACAGGUGACGUUGUCCCUGUCCCACAAGCUCGGAGCAAAUCCAGCCUGUGUGAGACCACAGUGACUGGAAAAGAGUCCAGUGCAGGUUUGUUCCUGUAGCCAUUGCUGGUCUUUUCUCCAGGCACGAGGAGUAUCCUGUCCCCUAUCCAGGGACUCUACUCCCUUUUCUUUUCUUUUUCUUUUUUUUUUUUUGCAGUAGCAGGGAUUGAACUCAGGACUUGCACUUGCGAGACAGGCGCAGCUAAAUCCCAGGCCCCUAAGGGAGCCUACUGCUUCCACAGGGUGGGAGGCAAACUGGGCUGAGGGGCAGAGGUGUAGCCUAGAUGUGGAGAGGAGGCUUUGGAAGGCUAUCAGAGGACAGGAGGUGGGGGGCAAGUACGCAGAGAAAGAGGCGGACAUCUGAGCCAGCUUCAGGGUCAGCCAGGCCAGGGGCUGAGUGGGCAUGCUGGGCUGAAGCCUUCAGGAAAGAGGUGUGCAGCCUGCUGAGCCCUGGCAUCUAGGGUGCCCACUCCGCGAAGCCGGGCCCAGGCCUGAGUCAGCCAAACCCUGGGACUCCCAUUUGGCCCCAGUAACUGGAUUCCAGGCCACCAAAGGCCUUGUGGGUUCCUGAUUGUGUCUCGGGAUGGCAUUAUAAGGCCUUGAUGGAGAGCUCAUGGGCUGUGCCAUAUUUAGCUACAGGUUCACCCAGAGAAUAUUUUGGGUGCUGCUUGAAAGGGGAGCUCUGAGCCCUGUUGCUGACUGUCACAAGGCAGGGGUGGGAUCGCUUCCUCGCAGGCCUGGCCCAGAAGCUUAGAGACUCUGCCAAGGCUUUGGGACCAUGCAGUGGGUUCUAGGGAGCCAGGAAGUGCCCUGGGAGCCAGUUCUGGGCUGGGAACAUGUUGGGAAGGCUUUUCGCCCUGUUUUCGUUGAGCAGCGAUAAGGCCACUUCCAUUCAUAGAACUCACAGAGGCCAUUUUCAGCCUCUGUCUUCUCCAAGAUGGCCCAGUGUGAUAUGCCAGGCUGCUGAGUGAGUGGCCUCCUCCUCAGGUGUCAGCCACGGGGGCAGGGUUAACCCUUUCAAGGCCCUCGGUGUGGGCUGGCACAGGGGCAGCCUUCUGCACAGACGGCCACGGUCCUGUGUGCUUGUUUCCCUUAAUCCUCAGACCCUAGUGGCAGACCCAAGAGGGAACCUUAGCAGUGAUGCCACCCCAUUGGUGAUAACCACUUGGCUCUCCUACCCAAGCCUUCUACCUGCUGGUCAUCCAGCUGUGGAAACAGCUGCUUACCUUCCAGAUGUUUUCGUCUGGGUCUCAAAGUUAACUGACUUUCCCCUAAUGCAGAGGAGGGGGCAUUAAUAGCUAGGCUUUCGCUUUGAUCAUCGGGAAGGGCUGGAAUAACCGUUUGGGGUUUGGGGCAAAUGUUGCAGGCUCCUCGGGGUCACUGGCCUUAGGGAAUAAUCUGUGUGACCAUUUCUGGACCCUGGUCUGGGUUCCUGGAGGGAGGGGCGCGUCUGUAUGGAAGCUAUGGCUUGGAGACAUCUUUAGCCCAUUAUUCUGAGGACAGCGAGGUUCCUUCCAGGAGCCUAUGCGAGCUGACACACACCCUGAAAGCAUCCACUUGUUUAAAGUUUGCUCUAACUUUGUACAUUUUUUCCCUUUUAGUUUGGCUCUUGGUGCUCCAAGAGCCCCCACUUCCUGCCAGCUGGUUACCGCAGGGAAAAUGAGGGACUUUUGGGGGCAGAUGUGUUUCCGUUCCACUAUCAUAAUGCCCCUAAAAAUCCUUAUUGCUCUUGCAGUAUUCCUCGGGGUCCCCGGGCCAGGAAGACGGCGGCUCUGGGCUCCUCCAGCAACACAGAGAGGAGAGCGAGGUGUCCCCAGAUGGGCAUCCCUCCCACAGUCCCUCUGCUUCCCUGGAAGAUCUGUCCGCACCAUGCUCAGAACCAGUCACCCUCCCCUAAAAGAGAGGAUUUCAUUUACAAACAUGAACGCUGGUUACUAAACUCGCUUUUUGCCCUCCAGGCUCAGAUCGGUGGAGCUCAGGCCUGGGAAGAAGAGGCCACUGAGACACAUGGGGAAACCACAGUCCAGCAGUAUGCCUGGGUUUCUGGAAGCAGCCAUGCUUAUGAUCCAGCCUACGAUCUGUGACUCUUGCUGUGUUGCCCCAGGGAUGUGACUCAACCUCUCUGGGCCUCCAGUGCCUCGUGCAUGACACCCACAGCUUGGAUGAGAAGUUUCCCAAAUCUCUUAUGCACAUCUGCUCUAUGACUUUCAGAGGUACCUGGCUGAAGAUAAAAAUUUCUUAAAUAGGUGUUUCUUUGCAUGGCUGAUUUCUAUUUAUGGCAAUAGGUUGGUGUUCCCUAUAGGGGGGAUAUGUCUCCUUUUCUGUCGAAAUCAAUUUAUGUGGGUAAGAAAUGAGUCUCCUUCUUGAAAGAGAAAUGCAAAGCAAAUUAUGGCAGGUGGCCUGAGGAUGGGACCAAAAUCGAGACAACAGUUUGUAAAGUUUCAUGGGCCCACUUUUUAGAAAGAGUUCGUGUUUCUCUUAGGGGUUUUCUGUACCCUUAGUUGAUGGUGGGGGGAGUAAGUUGCCAGUUAAACCCAUGCUGUGUCCUGUGUUGUCCUUGGGGUCCCAACACCAGAGGCCCUCCCCAACUCCCCCCAUCCGUAGACCCCAUUUACCUCCACCCUGGGGUCACAGUGACCCAGUGCUCUCCUUCCCCGAUGGCUCACCUCUCUGAGCCUGUUUGCUCAGGGAAAUGGGGAGAAGAAACGCCCUGUGAAUGAGAUCAGGGGGUUGGGGAGCCUCACCACGAAGCAGGGAGAGUUCUGGAACAGGGCACCGGCUCAGGGGGCAGCAGGUGCCAGGGGCCCUGGAGCAGGUGGGGCAUGGCGGGGGGCGCCCUUGUCCAGCGGGCCGUGCAGUGCUGGG